CCUACGGGAGGCAGCAGUGAGGAAUAUUGGUCAAUGGCCGGAAGGCUGAACCAGCCAUGCCGCGUGAAGGUCAGUGCCCUAUGGGCGUUAAACUUCUUUUGUGCGGGAGCAAUAAUGGUCACGUGUGGCCAGACGAGAGUACCGUACGAAUAAGCAUCGGCUAACUCCGUGCCAGCAGCCGCGGUAAUACGGGGGAUGCAAGCGUUAUCCGGAUUUAUUGGGGUUAAAGGGUGCGUAGGCUGUGAGGUAAGUCAGCGGUGAAAUGCCCCCGCUCAACGGGGUGAAGUGCCAUUGAUACUGCCUUGCUGGAAUGCGGAUGCCGUGGGAGGAAUGUGUGGUGUAGCGGUGAAAUGUAUAGAUAUCACACAGAACACCGAUUGCGAAGGCAUCUCACGAAUCCGCGAUUGACGCUGAUGCACGAAAGCGUGGGUAUCAAACAGGAUUAGAUACCCGUGUAGUC
This 460-nucleotide ribosomal RNA is filed under the name uncultured bacterium. RNAcentral's name for it is "partial 16S ribosomal RNA". It matches the Rfam family "Bacterial small subunit ribosomal RNA", at positions 338 to 795 of the family's 1533-position model. The record is from RNAcentral.